RNAcentral lists this ribosomal RNA (1725 nucleotides) under human gut metagenome. RNAcentral's name for it is "bacterial LSU rRNA". It matches the Rfam family "Bacterial large subunit ribosomal RNA", at positions 863 to 2463 of the family's 2925-position model. The record is from RNAcentral.
AAUGCAUUUAGGUGCAGCGUCGGUCGAUUGCGUCGCGGGGGUAGAGCUACCGGAUGCUUGCGGGCCCUUGUUGGGUACCAACAGCAGCCGAACUCCGAAUACCGUUGACGUGUAUUCCGGCAGUGAGUCGGCGGGGGAUAAGCUCCGUCGUCGAGAGGGAGACAGCCCAGACCGUCGUCUAAGGUCCCGAAGCGUGUGCUAAGUGGGAAAGGAUGUGGAGUCGCAUAGACAGCCAGGAGGUUGGCUCAGAAGCAGCCAUCCUUGAAAGAGUGCGUAACAGCUCACUGGUCUAGUGGUUCCGCGCCGACAAUGUAGCGGGGCUCAAGCACACCACCGAAGACGCGGCAGCAAUCUUCAUGGUUGCUGGGUAGGAGAGCGUCCUGCGAGGGGCGAAGCGGCCGGGUAACCGUGCCGUGGACUUCGUGGGAGUGAGAAUGCAGACAUGAGUAGCGAGAGACGGGUGAGGAUCCCGUCCGCUGGAUGACCAAGGGUUCCGGGGCCACGUUCGUCGUCCCCGGGUGAGUCGGGUCCUAAGGCGAGGCCGACAGGCGUAGUCGAAUGGAUGAACGGGUGGAUAUUCCCGUACCGACCAUGGACCGGCAAAACCGAGACGGUGAGUACUAACCUCCGCCUCGUGGUGGUUCCUUCCUUCGGGUUGGUUCCGCCGCGUGGUGUUGGGAGCGUAGCCGUAGUAGGUCAGCGCAGGGGUGACACGGAAUGGGAGCCGGCCGCGGAGGUGGUUUUCCGUGGUCAAGCACGCAGCCAGUCAUGUAGGCAAAUCCGCAUGGCGCGCAUGGCGAGGUGUGAUGAUGGGAGCCGUUAUGGCUCGAUAUCCGGUUGUCCAGGCCGUCGAGAAAAGCCUCGGCGUGAGGGCCAUGGCCGCCCGUACCCCAAACCGACACUGGUGGUCAGGAGAGAAUACCAAGGCGAUCGAGCGAAUCCUGGUCAAGGAACUCGGCAAAUCACUCCCGUGCCUUCGGUAUAAGGGAGACCCGCUGGGGUGAACCGGCUAGCCCGGGGAGCUUUGGUGGGUGGCACAGACCAGGGGGUAGCGACUGUUUACCAAAAACACAGGUGCAUGCGAAGGCGAAAGCCGCUGUAUAUGCACUGACGCCUGCCCGGUGCCGGAAGGUUAAGAGGAUCCGUCAAUCCCUUCGGGGACGAAGCGGUGAAUUCAAGCCCCGGUAAACGGCGGUGGUAACUAUAACCAUCCUAAGGUAGCGAAAUUCCUUGUCGGGUAAGUUCCGACCUGCACGAAUGGCGUAACGACUUCCCCACUGUCUCGACCAGGAGCUCGGCGAAAUUGCAGUACGAGUAAAGAUGCUCGUUAAGCGCAGAAGGACGAAAAGACCCCGGGACCUUUACUAUACCUUGGUAUUGGCGUUAGGCGCGGAUUGUGUAGCAUAGGCGGGAGGCUUCGAAGCGGGUGCGCCAGCAUUCGUGGAGCCGCAAGGUGAAAUACCGCUCUGUUCUCGUUUGACGUCUAACCUCGACAAGUCAUCCUUGUCAGGGACAGUGCCUGGCGGGUAGUUCAACUGGGGCGGUUGCCUCCCAAAGAGUAACGGAGGCGCUCAAAGGUCCGCUCAGCCCGGUUGGCAAUCGGGUGUCGAGUGUAAUCGCACAAGCGGGCUUGACUGCGAGGACGACGGUCCGAGCAGGGACGAAAGUCGGAGAUAGUGAUCCGGUGCCGGCGCACGGGCGCGGCAUCGCUCAACGGAUAAAAGG